AGUGAACGCUGGCGGUAGGCCUAACACACGCAAGCCGAACGGCAGCACAGUAAGAGCUUGCUCUUACGGGUGGCGAGUGGCGGACGGGUGAGGAAUACAUCGGAAUCUACUUUUUCGUGGGGGAUAACGUAGGGAAACUUACGCUAAUACCGCAUACGACCUACGGGUGAAAGCAGGGGAUCUUCGGACCUUGCGCGAUUGAAUGAGCCGAUGUCGGAUUAGCUAGUUGGCGGGGUAAAGGCCCACCAAGGCGACGAUCCGUAGCUGGUCUGAGAGGAUGAUCAGCCACACUGGAACUGAGACACGGUCCAGACUCCUACGGGAGGCAGCAGUGGGGAAUAUUGGACAAUGGGCGCAAGCCUGAUCCAGCCAUACCGCGUGGGUGAAGAAGGCCUUCGGGUUGUAAAGCCCUUUUGUUGGGAAAGAAAAGCAGCAGGUUAAUACCCCGCUGUUCUGACGGUACCCAAAGAAUAAGCACCGGCUAACUUCGUG
This 492-nucleotide ribosomal RNA is filed under the name uncultured bacterium. RNAcentral describes it as "partial 16S ribosomal RNA". It matches the Rfam family "Bacterial small subunit ribosomal RNA", at positions 29 to 507 of the family's 1533-position model. The record is from RNAcentral.